CUAAGCAUAUACUCUAGGAGAGCUGUGUUC
RNAcentral lists this non-coding RNA (30 nucleotides) under Rattus norvegicus (Norway rat). Lineage: Eukaryota; Metazoa; Chordata; Mammalia; Rodentia; Muridae. The record is from RNAcentral.